GGUUCUUUGAUCCAAGAGUUCACACUGUCCCAUGGUGAAACCGCGAAUGGCUCAUUAAAUCAGUCGAGGUUCCUUAGAUGACACGAUCCUACUUGGAUAACUGUGGCAAUUCUAGAGCUAAUACAUGCAAUCGAAGCUCCGACCUUUAUCGGGAAGAGCGCUUUUAUUAGUUCAAAACCAAUCGGCGCGGCCUCGCAAGGGGUUGCGUCGUCCCAUUUGGUGACUCUGGAUAACUUUGUGCUGAUCGCAUGGCCUCGCGCCGGCGACGCAUCUUUCAAAUGUCUGCCCUAUCAAAUGUCGAUGGUACGUGAUAUGCCUACCAUGUUUGUAACGGGUAACGGGGAAUCAGGGUUCGAUUCCGGAGAGGGAGCAUGAGAAACGGCUACCACAUCCGAGGAAGGCAGCAGGCGCGCAACUUACCCACUCCCGGCACGGGGAGGUAGUGACGAAAAAUAACAAUACGGGACUCUUUCGAGGCCCCGUAAUUGGAAUGAGUACACUUUAAACCCUUUAACGAGUAUCUAUUGGAGGGCAAGUCUGGUGCCAGCAGCCGCGGUAAUUCCAGCUCCAAUAGCGUAUAUUAAAGUUGUUGCAGUUAAAAAGCUCGUAGUUGGAUCUCAGGCGCAGGCGGGCGGUCCGGCUCGCGCCGGCUCACUGCCCGUAUCUCCUGCCCUACCGUCUGUCGGCUCUCUCCCGCGGGUGCUCUUCACUGAGCGUCCCGGGUGGCCGACGCGUUUACUUUGAAAAAAUUAGAGUGUUCAAAGCAGGCCUCGCUGCCUGAAUAAUGGUGCAUGGAAUAAUGGAAUAGGACCUCGGUUCUAUUUUGUUGGUUUUCGGAAUUGGAGGUAAUGAUUAACAGGGACAAACGGGGGCAUUCGUAUUGCUGCGUUAGAGGUGAAAUUCUUGGAUCGCAGCAAGACGAACUACUGCGAAAGCAUUUGUCAAGAAUGUUUUCAUUAGUCAAGAACGAAAGUCAGAGGCGCGAAGACGAUCAGAUACCGUCGUAGUUCUGACCAUAAACUAUGCCACCUGGCCAUCCGCAGGAGUUGCUUCGAUGACUCUGCGGGCGGCCUCCGGGAAACCAAAGGUUUUGGGUUCCGGGGGAAGUAUGGUUGCAAAGCUGAAACUUAAAGGAAUUGACGGAAGGGCACCACCAGGAGUGGAGCCUGCGGCUUAAUUUGACUCAACACGGGAAAACUCACCCGGUCCGGACACUGUAAGGAUUGACAGAUUGAUAGCUCUUUCUUGAUUCGGUGGGUGGUGGUGCAUGGCCGUUCUUAGUUG
This 1284-nucleotide ribosomal RNA is filed under the name Physella acuta. Its description in RNAcentral is "SSU rRNA". It matches the Rfam family "Eukaryotic small subunit ribosomal RNA", at positions 62 to 1300 of the family's 1831-position model. The record is from RNAcentral. Lineage: Eukaryota; Metazoa; Mollusca; Gastropoda; Physidae.